AACAUCUAAGUACCCCGAGGAAAAGAAAUCAACCGAGAUUCCCCCAGUAGCGGCGAGCGAACGGGGAGGAGCCCAGAGCCUGAAUCAGUGUGUGUGUUAGUGGAAGCGUCUGGAAAGGCGCGCGAUACAGGGUGACAGCCCCGUACACAAAAAUGCACACAUUGUGAGCUCGAUGAGUAGGGCGGGACACGUGGUAUCCUGUCUGAAUAUGGGGGGACCAUCCUCCAAGGCUAAAUACUCCUGACUGACCGAUAGUGAACCAGUACCGUGAGGGAAAGGCGAAAAGAACCCCGGCGAGGGGAGUGAAAAAGAACCUGAAACCGUGUACGUACAAGCAGUGGGAGCCUCUUAAUGGGGUGACUGCGUACCUUUUGUAUAAUGGGUCAGCGACUUAUAUUCUGUAGCAAGGUUAACCGAAUAGGGGAGCCGAAGGGAAACCGAGUCUUAACUGGGCGUUAAGUUGCAGGGUAUAGACCCGAAACCCGGUGAUCUAGCCAUGGGCAGGUUGAAGGUUGGGUAACACUAACUGGAGGACCGAACCGACUAAUGUUGAAAAAUUAGCGGAUGACUUGUGGCUGGGGGUGAAAGGCCAAUCAAACCGGGAGAUAGCUGGUUCUCCCCGAAAGCUAUUUAGGUAGCGCCUCGUGAAUUCAUCUCCGGGGGUAGAGCACUGUUUCGGCAAGGGGGUCAUCCCGACUUACCAACCCGAUGCAAACUGCGAAUACCGGAGAAUGUUAUCACGGGAGACACACGGCGGGUGCUAACGUCCGUCGUGAAGAGGGAAACAACCCAGACCGCCAGCUAAGGUCCCAAAGUCAUGGUUAAGUGGGAAACGAUGUGGGAAGGCCCAGACAGCCAGGAUGUUGGCUUAGAAGCAGCCAUCAUUUAAAGAAAGCGUAAUAGCUCACUGGUCGAGUCGGCCUGCGCGGAAGAUGUAACGGGGCUAAACCAUGCACCGAAGCUGCGGCAGCGACACUAUGUGUUGUUGGGUAGGGGAGCGUUCUGUAAGCCUGUGAAGGUGGCCUGUGAGGGUUGCUGGAGGUAUCAGAAGUGCGAAUGCUGACAUAAGUAACGAUAAAGCGGGUGAAAAGCCCGCUCGCCGGAAGACCAAGGGUUCCUGUCCAACGUUAAUCGGGGCAGGGUGAGUCGACCCCUAAGGCGAGGCCGAAAGGCGUAGUCGAUGGGAAACAGGUUAAUAUUCCUGUACUUGGUGUUACUGCGAAGGGGGGACGGAGAAGGCUAUGUUGGCCGGGCGACGGUUGUCCCGGUUUAAGCGUGUAGGCUGGUUUUCCAGGCAAAUCCGGAAAACC
This 1310-nucleotide ribosomal RNA is filed under the name Escherichia coli. RNAcentral's name for it is "partial 23S ribosomal RNA". It matches the Rfam family "Bacterial large subunit ribosomal RNA", at positions 197 to 1551 of the family's 2925-position model. Lineage: Bacteria; Pseudomonadati; Pseudomonadota; Gammaproteobacteria; Enterobacterales; Enterobacteriaceae. The record is from RNAcentral.